AACUUCAAUUUUUUAUUGAAUUGUUUUUUAAUUUUUAUGUUAAUUUUGUUUGAUUAAUUUCAAAAUAAUCUUCAAAACUUUCAACAACGGAUCUCUUGGUUCUCGCAUCGAUGAAGAACGCAGCGAAAUGCGAUAAGUAAUAUGAAUUGCAGAUUUUCGUGAAUCAUCGAAUCUUUGAACGCACAUUGCGCCCUUUGGUAUUCCAAAGGGCAUGCCUGUUUGAGCGUCAU
This 230-nucleotide ribosomal RNA is filed under the name Yamadazyma kitorensis. Its description in RNAcentral is "5.8S ribosomal RNA". The stretch from base 76 to 229 matches the Rfam family "5.8S ribosomal RNA". From Rfam's summary of the family: 5.8S ribosomal RNA (5.8S rRNA) is a component of the large subunit of the eukaryotic ribosome. It is transcribed by RNA polymerase I as part of the 45S precursor that also contains 18S and 28S rRNA. Lineage: Eukaryota; Fungi; Ascomycota; Pichiomycetes; Serinales; Debaryomycetaceae. The record is from RNAcentral.